GAUGAACGCUGGCGGCGUGCCUAAUACAUGCAAGUCGAGCGAACGGACGAGAAGCUUGCUUCUCUGAUGUUAGCGGCGGACGGGUGAGUAACACGUGGAUAACCUACCUAUAAGACUGGGAUAACUUCGGGAAACCGGAGCUAAUACCGGAUAAUAUUUUGAACCGCAUGGUUCAAAAGUGAAAGACGGUCUUGCUGUCACUUAUAGAUGGAUCCGCGCUGCAUUAGCUAGUUGGUAAGGUAACGGCUUACCAAGGCAACGAUGCAUAGCCGACCUGAGAGGGUGAUCGGCCACACUGGAACUGAGACACGGUCCAGACUCCUACGGGAGGCAGCAGUAGGGAAUCUUACGCAAUGGGCGAAAGCCUGGCGGAGCAAAGCCGCGGGAGUGAUGAAAGUCUUCGGAUCGGAAAACUCUGUUAUUUGGGAAGAACAUAUGUGUAAGUAACUGUGCACAUCUUGACGGUACCUAAUCAAAAAGCCACGGCUAACUACGUG
Molecule: ribosomal RNA, 497 nt
Filed under: uncultured bacterium
Lineage: Bacteria
Description: partial 16S ribosomal RNA
Rfam family: Bacterial small subunit ribosomal RNA
Source: RNAcentral